CACCAGCUUACGUGCUCAGGGCCACAGGUGUGGCUCCCCUGGAGCCAAAACAAUGCUUCAGGCUUGCUUAGCCCAGGACUCUGUGUUCCCACCUGCUGCCCAGUCCCCACCCCAGCAUGCCUGGCUGCUCCCCAGGAAACAGGGCAAACAAGCUUCCAUUGAUUCCCUUCACGGCUAGGAGAAUACGCCUUUGUUGAGUUCCACACUUCUUCCCCCAGUGUCCAUGCCCACAGGACAGGUGUUCAGGUGAACCAGCCCUUGACCAGUUUCUGGAACACAACCUUGGCACCUGUCAGCUCUCCUGAGGGUAGAAGAUCUUCCUUGUGCCUGAGGCAUGGGACAACACGGUGUCACUGACUUCUGUGGGUGGUACUAGGCUGGGGACUGAGUGACCCAUGCAGGCCCUGCGUUCCUGUGUGAUAUCCCUUGAUCAAACACCCUGACACUGAGGCUAGGGGUGCUCCUCUGGUUUGCCACACUUUGUCCACAUUUGCACACCCAUAUUUGGAGAAUCCAUUGGAGGACAAUGGGAACACGAGCCCAGUUUCCUCUGGAGUUAUCCAGGUCCCAACCAGGCCCAACCUCACACAGGCUGCAGCAAUACAGUCUUUCCCACUGGUGCCUUUUGCUGGGGCUGGCUGUGCUCAGCUGGUCAGGGCUCCCCACGAGCACCAGCUGUCUCCUGUGACAGCUCCUCAGGAGGACUGCAGCCAGCCCCCUCUUCACUUCCCCAGCUCCUUCUUCAUUGUAUGGGACCUAACUCCUACAUCACCCUAAACCCAUCCAUACAAACCAAAUGGAUCUCAUCUCCCUCAUUAUUCUCUUGGCUUUUGUUGUUUGUUCAUUUUGAGACAAAUCUACUCAGUUUUUCAUCUGAUUUCUUGCUUCUUGAAACUUUCUCUCCCGGGCUCUCCUGUUCUCCCUGCCUGUGUAUUUCAUUAUAACAACAAUGAGGUUUUGAUGUGGAGAAAAACCCCAUUUGUUCAGUCCACCAUCUUAACUCAGCGGUCUCUACACUGUCCUCAUUCUUGUGGAAUAAGUGUUAUGUUCCCUAAAUGC
RNAcentral lists this long non-coding RNA (1059 nucleotides) under Cricetulus griseus (Chinese hamster). RNAcentral's name for it is "lncRNA (ENSCGRG00015031820.1)". The record is from RNAcentral. Lineage: Eukaryota; Metazoa; Chordata; Mammalia; Rodentia; Cricetidae.